GCUGGGGUAGCUCAGUUGGUAUAGAGCGCCUGACUGUGGAUCAGGAGGUCGGGAGUUCGACUCUCCCCCCCAGUA
This 75-nucleotide transfer RNA is filed under the name bacterium. RNAcentral describes it as "tRNA-His". It matches the Rfam family "tRNA". Rfam says of the family: Transfer RNA (tRNA) molecules are approximately 80 nucleotides in length. The record is from RNAcentral. RNAcentral also lists the same sequence under 1 other name.